This 525-nucleotide ribosomal RNA is filed under the name Boulengerula uluguruensis (Uluguru pink caecilian). Its description in RNAcentral is "partial 16S ribosomal RNA". It matches the Rfam family "Bacterial large subunit ribosomal RNA", at positions 1818 to 2597 of the family's 2925-position model. The record is from RNAcentral. Lineage: Eukaryota; Metazoa; Chordata; Amphibia; Gymnophiona; Herpelidae.
GCCUCUAGAUACACAUACAUUAGAGGUACUGCCUGCCCAGUGAUUAUUUAACGGCCGCGGUAUUCUGACCGUGCAAAGGUAGCAUAAUAACUUGUCAUUUAAUUAAUGACUAGAAUGAAUGGCAAAACGAAAACUUAACUGUCUCUCUUAUUCAAUCAAUGAAACUGAUCCUCUUGUACAAAAGCAAGAAUAUUAAUACAAGACGAGAAGACCCUAUGGAGCUUUAAACCCAUUAUCAACUGCAAUAUUAACAAUAACAAUUUGAUAAUUGUUUUAGGUUGGGGCGACCACGGAGAAUAAAAAUCCUCCGAGAAAAACAACUUAAAUAACACAUCAAAGUACUAAAACNAUUUAAAUAAUUGACCCAAUAAACUUGAUCAACGAACCAAGUUACCCUAGGGAUAACAGCGCAAUCUUCUCUAAGAGUCCUUAUCUACGAGAAGGUUUACGACCUCGAUGUUGGAUCAGGAUAUCCAAACAGUGCAGCCGCUGUAAAAGGUUUGUUUGUUCAACAAAUAAUAUCCU